RNAcentral lists this transfer RNA (69 nucleotides) under Marmota monax (woodchuck). RNAcentral's name for it is "tRNA.Undet". Lineage: Eukaryota; Metazoa; Chordata; Mammalia; Rodentia; Sciuridae. The record is from RNAcentral.
GGGUAUAGCUCAGUGGUACAGCACUUAACUAGCAUGCAUAAGGCCCAGGUUUCAAUCCCCAGUACCACA